RNAcentral lists this ribosomal RNA (505 nucleotides) under uncultured bacterium. RNAcentral's name for it is "partial 16S ribosomal RNA". It matches the Rfam family "Bacterial small subunit ribosomal RNA", at positions 28 to 507 of the family's 1533-position model. The record is from RNAcentral.
GACGAACGCUGGCGGCGUGCCUAAUACAUGCAAGUAGAACGCACAGUUUAUACCGUAGCUUGCUACACCAUAAACUGUGAGCUGCGAACGGGUGAGUAACGCGUAGGUAACCUGCCUGGUAGCGGGGGAUAACUAUUGGAAGCGAUAGCUAAUACCGCAUAAUAUUGAUUAUUGCAUGAUAAUUGAUUGAAAGAUGCUAUUGCAUCACUACCAGAUGGACCUGCGUUGUAUUAGCUAGUAGGUGAGGUAACGGCUCACCUAGGCGACGAUACAUAGCCGACCUGAGAGGGUGAUCGGCCACACUGGGACUGAGACACGGCCCAGACUCCUACGGGAGGCAGCAGUAGGGAAUCUUCGGCAAUAGACGAAAGUCUGACCGAGCAACGCCGCGUGAGUGAAGAAGGUUUUCGGAUCGUAAAGCUCUGUUGUAAGAGAAGAACGGGUGUGAGAGUGGAAAGUUCACACUGUGACGGUAUCUUACCAGAAAGGGACGGCUAACUACGUG